Long non-coding RNA from Zingiber officinale, 737 nucleotides. RefSeq lists it as uncharacterized. Lineage: Eukaryota; Viridiplantae; Streptophyta; Magnoliopsida; Zingiberales; Zingiberaceae. The record is from RefSeq and is a predicted model, not a curated record. The transcript has 6 exons.
UUGAUGAAAAGUAAAUAAUUGUUUUUCAGGUCAUUCUCUAAAUGAUCUUUUAUUUGUCUAGACUUCCACAUCCAAGUGAAUGUGCCCUUUACUAUGUCAACCGAGAUAUACUUUUCUAAUAUCACAAGGAGAGUGAGAUAUGUUUAUAGGUUUGUCUCUCCAUUGUGGAAUUCAAUGAUAUUUUUUCUCCUCAUAGAGAGAAGACUACACUUGAGCAUGAGCCUAGCUUGUGGUUGCUGCAGUUGGCUUCAAGGCAAGAAGGCCUGAGAUCCCAAGUACUGUAAAUAGACAUGUGGCUGCCAUAAUUGAGUCCUGUUGGGCCAGCGAGCCAUGGAAAAGGCCUUCUUUUUCUAGUAUCAUGGAAUCCUUGAAGCCUCUAAUCAAGACUCAGUCACCUCAACCGUUACAUUCUGAUAUGUCUAGUAUCCAAUAGCCAGAUGAUUGCAUAUUCCUAAGAGAGAUGUGUAUUGUAUCUAUUCUACUUGUCAAAAAGGGUCCCCUUCAAAUUUUGCCUGUCAGAGGAUCAGUGCCAAUGAAGCUGUUGCCAGUUUUCAUUGCAUCACUGCCAACACGAUCGAUCUAAUCAGCUAUAGAUAUUUUUCAGUAAAUUGAAGUUCCAUUCGCGUUUAUAUGUAUAUUUUGUUUAACCUAGAGUGAUAUCAGCAUGGAACUUGUAUAUUGCCAGCAUGGAACUUGUAUAUCUACAAAAAGCAUUCUUGCUUAUGAGAUUUGGAAGA